GGGAAUAUAGCUCCAAUGGUAGAGCGGAGGAUUGAAGAUCCUCGCGUUACUGGUUCGAAUCCAGUUAUUCCCA
RNAcentral lists this transfer RNA (73 nucleotides) under Caudoviricetes sp. RNAcentral describes it as "tRNA-Phe". It matches the Rfam family "tRNA". Rfam says of the family: Transfer RNA (tRNA) molecules are approximately 80 nucleotides in length. Their secondary structure includes four short double-helical elements and three loops (D, anti-codon, and T loops). Further hydrogen bonds mediate the characteristic L-shaped molecular structure. tRNAs have two regions of fundamental functional importance: the anti-codon, which is responsible for specific mRNA codon recognition, and the 3' end, to which the tRNAs corresponding amino acid is attached (by aminoacyl-tRNA synthetases). tRNAs cope with the degeneracy of the genetic code in two manners: having more than one tRNA (with a specific anti-codon) for a particular amino acid; and 'wobble' base-pairing, i.e. permitting non-standard base-pairing at the 3rd anti-codon position. The record is from RNAcentral. Lineage: Duplodnaviria; Heunggongvirae; Uroviricota; Caudoviricetes.